ANUNGUUGCNUCAGANGCCGNAAUGUUGCNCAUAGNCNCAUUGACGCCANUUUCUGGGUUCUAUAUNCAGNCUUUCCGCAAAUAGGNNAUUCAUAGAUGGCUUGUACGUCNGCUCGUGACACCGGCUAACUCCGUGCCAGCAGCCGCGGUAAUACGGAGGGUGCGAGCGUUAAUCGGAAUUACUGGGCGUAAAGCGCAUGCAGGUGGUUUGUUAAGUCAGAUGUGAAAGCCCGGGGCUCAACCUCGGAAUAGCAUUUGAAACUGGCAGACUAGAGUACUGUAGAGGGGGGUAGAAUUUCAGGUGUAGCGGUGAAAUGCGUAGAGAUCUGAAGGAAUACCGGUGGCGAAGGCGGCCCCUGGACAGAUACUUGACACUCAGAUGCGAAAGCGUGGGGAGCAAACAGGAUUAGAUACCCUGGUAGUCCACGCCGUAAACGAUGUCUACUUGGAGGUUGUGGCCUUGAGCCGUGGCUUUCGGAGCUAACGCGUUAAGUAGACCGCCUGGGGAGUACGGUCGCAAGAUUAAAACUCACUCCUACGGGAGGCAGCNAGUGCGAGGGUAUAGCUNAGCUAGNAUAGGUNGCGUAAGANUNCUGAACANNUNGCCACUAUAGNNCCNUNGNNGCCACUUUCNUGGGUU
This 640-nucleotide ribosomal RNA is filed under the name Vibrio sp. UST991130-019. Its description in RNAcentral is "partial 16S ribosomal RNA". It matches the Rfam family "Bacterial small subunit ribosomal RNA", at positions 401 to 1533 of the family's 1533-position model. Lineage: Bacteria; Pseudomonadati; Pseudomonadota; Gammaproteobacteria; Vibrionales; Vibrionaceae. The record is from RNAcentral.